Glycine soja is the source of this 78-nucleotide non-coding RNA. NCBI's taxonomy places the organism in Eukaryota, Viridiplantae, Streptophyta, Magnoliopsida, Fabales, Fabaceae. The record is from Rfam.
GGGGGUAUAUCUCAGUUGAUAGAGCAUUGGGCUUUAAUUUUAACCUAAUGGUUGCAGGUUCAAGUCCUGCUAUACUCU